GUGGGGAAUCUUCCGCAAUGGACGAAAGUCUGACGGAGCAACGCCGCGUGAGUGAAGAAGGUUUUCGGAUCGUAAAGCUCUUUCGUUAGGGACGAACGUGCUCUUUGUGAAUAAUGAGGAGUAAUGACGGUACCUAAAUAAGAAGCCACGGCUAACUACGUGCCAGCAGCCGCGGUAAUACGUAGGUGGCAAGCGUUGUCCGGAAUUAUUGGGCGUAAAGCGCGCGCAGGCGGGAUAUCAAGUCUGUCUUAAAAGUGCGAGGCUCAACGUCGUGAGGGGACAGAAACUGGUAUUCUUGAGUGUCAGAGAGGAAAGUGGAAUUCCAAGUGUAGCGGUGAAAUGCGUAGAGAUUUGGAAGAACACCAGUGGCGAAGGCGACUUUCUGGACGAUGUCUGACGCUGAGGCGCGAAAGCUAGGGGAGCGAACGGGAUUAGAAACCCCAGUAGUCC
Molecule: ribosomal RNA, 450 nt
Filed under: uncultured bacterium
Lineage: Bacteria
Description: partial 16S ribosomal RNA
Rfam family: Bacterial small subunit ribosomal RNA
Source: RNAcentral